Molecule: long non-coding RNA, 1060 nt
Filed under: Pogona vitticeps (central bearded dragon)
Lineage: Eukaryota; Metazoa; Chordata; Lepidosauria; Squamata; Agamidae
Description: lncRNA (ENSPVIG00000013562.1)
Source: RNAcentral
GAAAAAUAUUCUGAGACUCCUCGUCAUGGGCCUCUCACGUAAUGUCUAAUGUGCUUUUGAGUGUUAAUAUGUGAGUGAGCAAAGGUUUUGGUUAAGAGACAGUAAAUCUAAAGACAGGAAACAGGAAACGACAACCUUCUCUAAUAUGCAGAUGUGUCCACUUGUGCUUUCGAGAUGUUUUGGACAUCAAUAUCCAUGAGCCCUACCCAGUGCUACCAAAGGUCAAGAAAUCUGGAAGAUGCAGCAAAAACCUUCUGGAGGACACCAGCUUGGGGAGCUCUAUUUUAAAGAGAGAAUGUCCAGACCAUUCAUACAGGUGCCAACUCAUUUUGGAGAGAAGAGUUCAAGGGUUGUGGGAAUAUGCAGUCAACUAGGGAUGCUGAGUGUCUGUCUACCAAGAUGAUUUCCUGCACAAGCCCCGGUGAAAUGUAUGUUCCUCCUUCUACAAAAAUUCCAUUUUCUGCUGUCAGAUGUUCCACACUCCACCCACAGUCCUAGGAUGCAGAGUCAAUGAGUAACGUUUGUACCAAGUACCAGUUUCUACCAUCAGUUAACAAGUGAUACAAGUAGGGCAUGAACACUUUUGGCUCAAUAUUGGUUCUUUUCCACUGCUGACAAGAAGACCAUCCAGCAACAAUAUUCUAGGAUUCCAUAUCUUUUUUUGUUAGUAGCACAGCUUCAGAAAGUACUGAAAGAUGGCUGAUAUGUAAUGAAAAGCUAUUGGAUGAAUUAUUUAAAAUAGGAGCACUGAGUCAAACUCAGUUGCAAUUCAUGACACAUGGAAGGUCUCAACAAAUUCAAAAAACAUAUUUGUGUUAAAGAAUAUCCACCAACAUGAGUAAAGUGGCUUAAAGAUAGGACUAUAUAAGUUAGGUUGAGAACAGCUGACGUGGCAUGGCUGGAAGACUACAAUUUGCACUUAUUUCUGACUACAGCUGUAGCAAGAUGUGACAGACGGCUUUGCCAUGAUUUUAUGGCAUUUAUCUUAAUUCCAUCCCUCUUUUGAUAUACAGUUCACCAUAAAAUAUAACAGGAGAAAAUAAAAUAUAUAAUAGAGUCA